ACCCGUUUAUCCUGCGGGAGGUUGCUGCUAUCAGGAUUCGAUUAAGCCAUGCAAGUCAGAGGGUUCCUUCGGGAACACAGGCAAACCGCUCAGUAACACGUUGAUAAUCUGACCUUAGGUACGGGAUAACCUUGGAAAACUGAGGCUAAGACCGUAUAGGGAAAUUGUUCUGGAAACGAUUUUUUCCUUAAAGGCAACGCCUAAGGAUGAGUCAGCGGCGGAUUAGGUAGUUGGUGGGGUAAAGGCCCACCAAGCCAAAGAUCCGUAGGGGCCUUGAGAGAGGUAGCCCCGAGAAGGACACUGAGACACUUGUCCUAGCCCUACGGGGUGCAGCAGGCGCGAAACCUUUACAAUGCACGCAAGUGUGAUAAGGGAAUCCUGAGUGCUAAUCAAUAGAUUGGCUUUUGCCAAGAGUAAAAAUCUUGGCGAAUAAGUGGUGGGCAAGACCGGUGCCAGCAGCCGCGUAACCCCGGCGCCACGAGUGGCAACCAUAUUUACUUGGCCUAAAGCGUCCGUAGCUGGUUUAGUGAAUCUUUUGUGAAAUCUUGGGGCUCAACCUCAGGGCUUGCAGAAGACACUGCUAGACUCGGAACCGGGAGGAGUGCGGGGUAUUACAGGGGGAGCGGUAAAAUGCGAUAAUCCUUGUAGGACCACCAGUGGCGAAGGCGCCGCACUAGAACGGAUUCGACAGUGAGGGACGAAAGCUAGGGGAGCGAUCCGGAUUAGAUACCCGAGUAGUCCUAGCCGUAAACGCUGUGAGCAAGGUAUUGCGCAUUCCACGCGAAUGCGUAGUGUCGAAGAGAAGUCGUUAAGCUCACCGCCUGGGAAGUAUGGUCGCAAGGCUGAAACUUAAAGGAAUUGGCGGGGGAGCACUACAAGGGGUGCGGCGUGCGGUUUAAUCUAAUUCAACGCAGAGAAUCUCACCAGAAGCGACGGCAGAAUGAAGAUCAGGCUGAAGACCUUAUCUGACGAGCCGAGAGGUAGUGCAUGGCCGCCGUCAGCUCGUGCCGUGAGGUGUCCUGUUAAGUCAGGCAACGAGCGAGACCUGUACCUAUAAUUGCUAACGAUAUCAUCGAUAGGUCGAGCACUUUACAGGGACUGCCUUGGAAACAAGGAGGAAGGUGCAGGCAACGGUAGGUCUGUAUGCUCCGAAUCCUCUGGGCUACACGCGCGCAACAAUGGUAAGGACAAUGGGAUACGACCCUGAAAAGGGAAGUUAAACCUCUAAACCUUAUCUUAGUCCAGAUUGAGGGCUGUAACUCGCCCUCAUGACGCCGGAAUCCCUAGUAAUCGGACGUUAUCAUCGUCCGGUGAAUAUGUCCCUGCUCCUUGCACACACCGCCCGUCAAACCACUCGAGCAGGGUUUAGGUGAGGAUCAAUUUUUUUGAUUGCUUCAAAUCUAAACUCAGUGAGAUGGGUUAAGUCGUCACAAGGUA
RNAcentral lists this ribosomal RNA (1437 nucleotides) under metagenome. RNAcentral describes it as "bacterial SSU rRNA". It matches the Rfam family "Archaeal small subunit ribosomal RNA". The record is from RNAcentral.